This 864-nucleotide ribosomal RNA is filed under the name uncultured Actinomycetes bacterium. Its description in RNAcentral is "bacterial SSU rRNA". It matches the Rfam family "Bacterial small subunit ribosomal RNA", at positions 35 to 916 of the family's 1533-position model. Lineage: Bacteria; Bacillati; Actinomycetota; Actinomycetes. The record is from RNAcentral.
CCUAGCCGGGGUCUUAUAAUGCAGUCGACGAUGAAGUUCCUUCGGGAAUGGAUUAGUGGCGAACGGGUGAGGAACACGUGAGAAACCUGCCCUUCAUUCUGGGAUAACACCGGGAAACCGGUGCUAAUACCGGAUACUCCGUCUUGGCGGCAUCGCCGAGCCGGGAAAAAAUUUUGAUGAAAGAUGGUCUCGCGGCCUAUCAGCUAGUUGGUGAGGUAAAGGCUCACCAAGGCGACGACGGGUAGCCGGCCUGAGAGGGCGACCGGCCACACUGGGACUGAGACACGGCCCAGACUCCUACGGGAGGCAGCAGUAGGGAAUAUUGGGCAAUGGGCGCAAGCCUGACCCAGCGACGCCGCGUGAGGGAUGAAGGUCUUCGGAUUGUAAACCUCUUUCAGUAGGGAAGAAGCGAAAGUGACGGUACCUAAAGAAGAAGCACCGGCUAACUAUGUGCCAGCAGCCGCGGUAAUACAUAGGGUGCAAGCGUUGUCCGGAAUUAUUGGGCGUAAAGAGCUCGUAGGUCGUUUGUCGCGUCGAUUGUGAUAAUCUGAGGCUCAACCUCAGACCUGCAGUCGAUACGGGCAAACUAGAGUGUGGUAGGGGAGACUGGAAUUCCUGGUGUAGCGGUGGAAUGCGCAGAUAUCAGGAGGAACACCAAUGGCGAAGGCAGGUCUCUGGGCCAUAACUGACACUGAGGAGCGAAAGUGCGGGGAGCGAACAGGAUUAGAUACCCUGGUAGUCCGCACCGUAAACGGUGGGCACUAGUUGUGGGAACCUUCCACGGUUUCCGCGACGCAGCUAACGCAUUAAGUGCCCCGCCUGGGGGAGUACGAUCGCAAGAUUAAAACUCAAAGGAAUUGACGG